Phacochoerus africanus (Common warthog) is the source of this 302-nucleotide long non-coding RNA. RefSeq lists it as uncharacterized. Lineage: Eukaryota; Metazoa; Chordata; Mammalia; Artiodactyla; Suidae. The record is from RefSeq and is a predicted model, not a curated record. The transcript is spliced from 3 exons.
UGUUGAGUCACCCAGCAGGGGAUACUGGAGUCUAUCAGGCUGAGAGUCUGGAGGGAUAGGACUGAUUCCAGCAGUGUUAUGCUUCUUUUAUCUGCCUCUCCUUCUGUAUUUCCAGCAAUAGUUGUUGGCAUGGAAACCCACCCGUUCACCCAACCUGGAGUAAAUGUGAAGUCCAAUGAGACAACAGAACAUGCCCGCUGACAGUGCGUGUAAAGUGUGGGCCCACUGUUCCUUGAUGCCCCAGUUUGCUGUGCCUCAAAGAGCACAAAAUUUCGCUGGACUCACGAGCAUGUCAAAGCGAC